AAUUCCAGGUUGUUAAUAGAAUGUUUGUGAAUUAAGCAUGAAAUGAGGGUAUUUAGUGGCUUACUGUAGAAUGUUAUAAUAAAAUGGUGCAAAUUCGGGAUGAAAAAUUACGUUCUUGAUUCUGUUAUUUACCACAUCAAGAUCUCUGUUCUACUGUAAUCAAGCUUCCAUUUGGCAAUUUAUACAUUUGUAUUUCAUAUUAAUGUCAAUAAAAUUUAGUACAGAACUCA
Molecule: unclassified non-coding RNA, 230 nt
Filed under: Hevea brasiliensis (rubber tree)
Lineage: Eukaryota; Viridiplantae; Streptophyta; Magnoliopsida; Malpighiales; Euphorbiaceae
Source: RNAcentral